Molecule: ribosomal RNA, 450 nt
Filed under: uncultured bacterium
Lineage: Bacteria
Description: partial 16S ribosomal RNA
Rfam family: Bacterial small subunit ribosomal RNA
Source: RNAcentral
GUGGGGAAUAUUCCGCAAUGGACGAAAGUCUGACGGAGCAACGCCGCGUGAGUGAUGAAGGUUUUCGGACUGUAAAGCUCUGUUGUUUAGGACGAAAGUGCCUGUUGCGAACAGUUACAGGUAUUGACGGUACUGAACGAGGAAGCCACGGCUAACUACGUGCCAGCAGCCGCGGUAAUACGUAGGUGGCAAGCGUUGUCCGGAAGUAUUGGGCGUAAAGAGCAUGUAGGCGGGAAUCUAAGUCUGUUGUGAAAAUGCGGGGCUCAACCCCGUAUUGCGAUGGAAACUGGGUUUCUUGAGUGCAGGAGAGGAAAGGGGAAUUCCCAGUGUAGCGGUGAAAUGCGUAGAUAUUGGGAGGAACACCAGUGGCGAAGGCGCCUUUCUGGACUGUGUCUGACGCUGAGAUGCGAAAGCCAGGGUAGCGAACGGGAUUAGAUACCCCAGUAGUCC